UUUUUUUUUUUUUUUUUUUUUUUUUUGUCUUUUGGCCAUUUCUUGGGCCACUCACACGGCAUAUGGAGGUUCCCAGACUAGGGGUCCAAUCGGAGCUGUAGCCACCGGCCCACCCCAGAGCCACAGCAACGCGGGAUCCGAGCCGCGUCUGCAACCUACACCACAGCUCACGGCAACGCCGGAUCUUUUAACCCACUGAGCAAGGCCAGGGAUCGAACCCGCAACCUCAUGGUUCCUAGUCGGAUUCACUAACCACUGAGCCACAACGGGAACUCCUAAAAAGUUAAAUUUUAAGUUAAUUUUAUAACUUAGAUUUCAGGCUUUGCAUUCUCCUAAAAAACUAUCCCAUGAUUAAAGAAGUUAGACUGAAAGUUUGUUUUUGUGAUGGUGCUUGUUAACAUUAGCCUGUAUGUGAAGAAGUCUGAAUGUGGCUUAGGUGCAGGAAUGAUCAUGUCCAUUUAACCUCCAGUCAAAAAUAAAGUACAUCUAACAUAUGACACAAAUGAACCUAUCUAUAGAAAAGGAACAAACUCAGGGACAUGAAGAACAGGCUUGUUGUUGCCAACAGGGAGGGGGAGGGAGUGGGAUGGACUGGGAGUUUGGGGUUAGCAGAUGCAAACUAUUGCAUUUGGAAUGGAUAAGCAAUAAGAUCCUGCUGUAUAGCACAGGGAACUAUAUCAAAUCAUUUGUAAUGGAACAUGAUGGAAAAUAAUGUGAGAAAAAGAAUGUAUAUAUAUGUUAACUGGGUCAUUUUGUUGUAUAGCAGAAAUUGCUAGAACAUUGUAAAUCAUAAUAAAAAUUUUUUUAAAAACUGAAGCACAUGCAUGCACAAACUCACAAACACACACAGACAGACAUCCAAAGAAAUAAAUGGAAACCACAUAUAUGAGGAAAUCUUUAUCUUUAUUCUGUUUUUGUUCAAUUGUUUGUUUGUUUGUUUUGGCUGUGCCUGCAGCAUGCAAAUGUUCUGGGGCCCAGGAUUGAAUGCACACCAUAGAAGUGACCCAAGCCACAGCAGUGACAACACCAGAUCCUUAACCAGUUGAGCCACCAGGGAAUUCCUCUUUCUCUAUUGUUUAACAUUAAUUAAAAAUGCCAUUUACCUAUAUAGCUGAUAUCAUAUAAUAAUUAUACUGGGAAUAUAACCUUUAAAAAUUGUGAAUCUCUGUAUUCUACCCCUGAUACAUAUAGUAGUGUACAUCAACUAGGUUCAAAUUAAAAAAUGGCCGUUUUCAUCUUCAGUUCUUACCUAUUAUAAGAUCAAUUUCAGAAGACUCAAACUGGACUUGGAGAUACCCAGAAAAUUAUUUUUCAAGAAUAUGUACACACUCAGUUGACAGGGAAAUAGUAAGACCAUCAAGAGCUCCCAAGCCAGGUCCCCACGUCUCCUAAAAAAUACAUCCCCCACUUCUGUCCUCCCAGGACAUCUAUAUUCUUGCUCAGCAAAUCUCUCUCUUCUUUAAAGCUCUACUGGAAUAGUUCUGGCUAGUAAGAAAAAAGGGAGGGGGUGGUUUUGAUCUUUCCAUGACAUUGAUUCAAGCAAUUCAGCAAUUGUUGCAGGCCGGAUGCCCCCCAUUUUUUUAACUUCAUCAGACCAAAAUCGUUAUAAACCGUCCUCCCGUGAAAGAAUAUUCCGUUUUAAUCAUGAUUUCUCUUAAGAAAAAGAAACAUAAACAUGUCAACAUGACACUCGAAGAUCACAAUAUGUCUUCCUAAUACAAUAAUAGCCAUCGGUUUAUGAACCAUUUGGUGAAACAGCCAAAGGAGAAAUUAGAUCAUUUGGCUCUGGUCAUAGAAUGUAAUAGAUCUACCAUCAGUUAAGAUAGCUGGGAAGAGGCCACAAUGAUUAAUGAAAGAGCCCCAUGGUAUAAAAACUGCUUAAUGGAACAGCACAAUAUGGCAUGCAAAGCAAACUAAAACAACCAUAAAUAUUUUAGGCAUCUUCCUAAGAUUUAAGAAUAUUCAUUCCACAUAUAAAUCCUUCAUGUAAUAUCAGCAAAAGCCCAUAGUCGAGAGGUCUGGCAGCCUGAACACAACACAGUAGAUGAGGGCUGUGUACCUUCUCCUUUCUGUCUGCAUUUUUCCUGUGAUGAUAAAACCAAAUCAGUUGGGUAACUGUUUCCAAAAUGAGGCAAAAUCCCGAGUGCCAGGGCUUUUUAAAAGCUUUCUUAGCACUUACUGCUCCAAGAAAUCUGAUCUGCAAAGCUUUAUCACAUGGUGCUAGGCUGGGGCCAGAGGAUCCCCUUGGCAGUUUUAUCUCCCAUCUCAGGUUUUGUUUACCCAUGCUAACCCAUUCACAGUGUAGUUUGGGGCCUGGAUGCUUCUUAGAAAUGCAAAUGUCCAGGCUCCAGCCCAGACUUACUCAAUCAGUAGCUAUAUUUCCCCAAAGUUUGCAUGUGAUUUGCAGGCCCAUUAAAGCUUGAGAAAGCCUGGACUACACCAGCAUCAUGCUGACCUCUCCCAUUACUGCUUCUAUCCCUGAACUCCAGACAGGUCCUAAGAGUGUAGUUAAAGAUGUCAUUAGUGAGAGAAUAGCUUUGCCAUUGAUGAGCUGUGUGAUCUUAGUAAUCUUUCUUACCCUCACUGACUCUCAGUCUGCUCAUUUGAAAUUAAGGGGAAAUAAUAGUACCGAUUUCAAGGUGCUGAUGAAAGAAUGAAAUGAGAUAACGUAUGCCAAAGCUCACCAUGAGAUGCCUGGCACAGAGUUGGUGCUCAAUCAAUGGUAAAAAGGUGGAGUAAUAAACAAGCACCAAUGGGACCAACUACAGGUUUGUUAUGGACUCUUUAUGAAAGUCUUGUUUCAAAAUCAUACUUUAUUCAAGGGGGUUAGUAAUGACUCAAAACACAGCAAUGGAGAAAGCAGAAAAAGAACAAGUUUGGAAGUUGGGAUAAGAGAUGAGAAAGCAUUGGUUCUUGAAGGAGGGACAGAACAAUAAUAAUAGUGCAAUUAUGGAUGAGUUAGCUUUUCCUGUUUGUCAAAUUAGCCUAAAAGUUAGCAGCUUAAAACAAACAUUUUUUUUGCCUUGGGGCAGGAAUUCGAGAUGAUCUUUACUGAGUGGUUCUGGCCUGGAUCUCCUAAGUCUCAUUCAAUAUAGUGCCGAAGGCAGUGGGCAUCUGUAGACUUGACUGGGACUAAAGAGUCUUUCCCAAAAUGGUUCACACCCAUGGUGCUAGAUACGCUGGUGCUAGCAGAAGACCUCACUUCCUCCCACUGGGGGUCUCUCCAUGGGCUGCUUAAGGGUCCUCAGGAUGUGGUGGUUGGCUUCCUUCAAGGAAAGUGAGCCAAGAGAGGACAAGGCGGAAGCCACCAGGCCUUACCUCAGAAAUCACACUCCAUUAGCUUUGCCAGACAGCCUUUGUAAGAAACAUCCAUAAUUGUGGCACUAACUGUGGCCAAGGGUGGCUCUAGCCCUUAAUUAAUCUUCCUCAGAGCCCUGGGCUCCUACUGAAAAUAAAAUAAGAUCUAAGUAUAAAUUUCUUCUUGCACCAAUAUAGCUUAAAAGCAAUCCCCCUUCAACCAAAUUGUUGUCCCUCACUCCCUAGUGUGUAGAGAUGUUGGGGCCUCCACAGAAUGUCUACUUUCAUCUGUAAAAGAUAGAGUCUCAGAAACCUAGAUCAUAAAGAAAGUCUCCAAGUAUUGGUUAAAUUUCCAGUUCAGCCUGAAACACACUUUUCCACCCCCAAGAUACUCUAUCAUUCAUUUGAAGUCUUACUGAUGAUUCCCUAGGUAUGGAUUAAACAUUCUUUCCUCUGCAAAGCCCAAGAUUAGAGAGGACCCUCAUCAGUAUUUCCCCCAAGCCCUCUCUAGUUCCUUUAUCAUAAUGCUAUUUACAUAUUUGAAAUAUUAUGUGCUCAUCUGUGUGUCACCUUUAAUCAACCAUAAAAUUAAGAUGGCAGAAACCACGUCCAAUCUUGUUCAAUGUGUAUUUACUGGAGAACGAUGCACUGCCUGGCACAUGGUAGAGCCUCAGUUAAAAACUUCUGAGUGGAUUUUCUUUAGCCAUUCUAUCAAUAAAUAUUAUUAAGAGCCUAUUGUAUGCUGGUCAGGGUGUCAGGGACAGCAGAUACAGCUGUGAACAAAAUCAAAUAAGUCUUCCCUCUAAGGGAGCUUUCAUUUUAAAGAGGUAAAGACAGUUUUAAAAAAAGGGAUAAAAUAAAAAACAAAAAACCCCCAAACCACUACCACCAUAACAGUAAUUUUAAAAACUAAAAAUCAAGAAAAUACAACAUGCUUAGGAACAAUAAAAUGUUUAGAAGAAAAACAGAGCAACGUGACAAAGAGUGAUUGUGAAGUGAGGGUUUUCUAUUUUAGAAAAGGGAAUUAUGGAAGGCUUCUCUGAGAAGAUGAUAGUUGAGCAAAGCUGUGAAUGAAAUGACACAAAGUCAUGAACAGCAAGAGAAAAACAGAGUCAGCUAUAAGGAAACUCCUAUAAGGUUAUCAGCUGAUUUCUCUAUAGAAAUUCAGCAGGUCAGAAGGGAAUGGCAUGAUACAUUCAAAGUCCUGAAAGGGAAAAACCUACAAACUAGGAUAUUAUACUGAGAAAGAUAAUCAAUUAAAGUAGAAGGAGAAAGAUUCUUUCAGAUGAGGAAAAAACUAAAGGAAUUUAGCAAUACUAACAUUACCCUGAAAGAAAUAUCAUAAGUUUGCCUCUAAAUAGAAAAGAAGAAUCUAUAGGAAGGUGAAAAACACAAUAGGAAAGGCAAAUAAAUAAAAGAAUUGACAAUCACUUAAGUCAGAACACAGAAUAAAAAACAAUCAAAAAUUAUUUGCAAAAGUGAUUAUAACUACAAUUAAUAAUUUAAUAAAAGGAAGAAAAAUCCCUUUAAAAAUCACAUCAAUAAAUAAAUAAAACACUUAGGAAUAAAUCUGACCAAAAGAGGUAAAAGAUUUGCAUGCUGAGAUCUAUAAAAUAUUGAUAAAGGAAACUGAAGAUGAUUCAAAAACACGGAAAUAUAUCCCAGGAUCUUGGACUGGAAGAAUAUUGUUAAAAUGACUAUAAUACCCAAAGCAAUCUGCAGAUUUAAUGUGAUCCCUACCAAAAUAUCCAUGACAUUUCUCACAGAACUAAAACAAAUAAUCCUAAAAUUUAAAUGGAACCACAAAAGACCCAGAAUUGCCAGAGAAAUCCUGAGGAAAAAGAACAAAGCUGGAGGUAUAACCCUCCCAGACUUCAGAUAAUACUACAAAGCUAUAGAAAUCAAAAGAUCAUGGUACUAGCAAAAAAAAAAAAAAAUAUAUAUAGGUCAAUAGAACAGAAUAGAGAGUCCAAAAAUAAACCCACACACCCACGAUCAAUUAAUCUAUGACAAAGAAGGUAAGAAUAUAUAGUGGAGAAAAGACAGUCUCUUCAAUGAAUGGUGUUGGGAAAGCCGGACAAUCAUAUGCAUACCAAUGAAAUUAAAAUAGACACUCACAUCGUAUACAAAAAUAAACUCAAAAUGGAUUAAAGACCAAAAUAUAAGACAAGGCAUCAUAAAACUCCUACAAGAGAACAUAAGCAAAACAUUCUCAGACUUCAAUCAUAGCAAUAUUUUCUUACAUCAGUCUCCCAAGGCAAGAGAAAUAAAAGUGAAAGUAAACAAAUGAGACCUAAUCAAACUUAAAAGCUUUUUGCACAGCAAACAAAACCAUCAACAAAAUGAAAAGACAACCUAUGAACUGGGAGAAAACAUUUGUAAAUGAUAUGACCAGCAAGAGGUUAAUAUCCAAACUAUACAAAUAGCACAUACAAUUCAACGUGGAAGAGACAAAAAAUGGGCAGAAGACCUAAACAGACAUUUUUCCACAGAAGACAUACCAAUAGUCAAUGGGUACAUGAAAAAAAAUGAUCACCAUCACUAAUUACUAGAGAAAUGCAAAUCGAAACCACAAUGAAGUAUCACCUCUCACCAGUCAGAAUAGCUAUUAUCAAAAAGCCUACAAAUAAUAAACACUGCACUGGAGAAAAUGUAUUGUUGGUGGGAAGAUAAAUUGAUAUAGCCACUAUUGAAAGAGUAUGGAGAUUCCUUAAAAAAAAUGAGAACAGAGCUACCAUAUGAUCCAGCAAACCAACUCCUGGGUGUACAGCUAGAAAAGACGGACAUCCUAAUUAAAAAAGAUACAUGCACCCCAAUGUUCACAGCAGCACUAUUUGCAAUAGCUGAGACAUGGAAACAACCCAUGCUUCCAUCAACAGACAACUGGCUUAAUAAGAUGUGUAUGUGUAUAUAUGUAAAUACAUGCACACACACAAAUACAUACAUGUAUACAUAUAUGUAAUAGAAUAUUACUCAGCCAUAGAAAGAAUGAAAUAUUGCCAUUUUCAGCAAUAUGGAUGCACCAAGAGAAUGUUAUUCUUAGUGAAGUCAGACCAAGAAAGACAAAUAUUAUGUAUCAUUUACAUGUGGAAUCUAAAAAAUUAUACAAAUGAAUCUAUAUACAAAACAGAAAUAGACUCACAGACAUGGAAUACAAACUUAUGGUUAACAAGGGGAAAAGAGGGGGCAGGGAAGAGGAGUAUGGGAUUGAUGGAUACAAACUCCUAUACACACAAAAAAAAUAUAA
Molecule: long non-coding RNA, 6544 nt
Filed under: Sus scrofa (pig)
Lineage: Eukaryota; Metazoa; Chordata; Mammalia; Artiodactyla; Suidae
Description: lncRNA (ENSSSCG00040023194.1)
Source: RNAcentral